AACGAACGCUGGCGGCGCGUUUUAAGCAUGCAAGUCGAGCGGCAAGGGCCUUCGGGCCCCUAGAGCGGCGGACGGGUGAGUAACACGUGGACAAUCUGCCCCCCGGACCGGGAUAGCCCAGGGAAACCUGGAUUAAUACCGGAUGAGAGCGUCGGCGCACAAGCGUCGGCGGGGAAAGGCGCUGCGGCGCCGCCGGGGGAUGAGUCCGCGGCCCAUUAGCUGGAUGGCGGGGUAAAGGCCCACCAUGGCGACGAUGGGUAGCCGGCCUGAGAGGGUGAUCGGCCACAUUGGAACUGAGACACGGUCCAGACUCCUACGGGAGGCAGCAGCUAAGAAUCUUCCGCAAUGGGCGAAAGCCUGACGGAGCGACGCCGCGUGAACGAUGAAGGCCGUGAGGUUGUAAAGUUCUUUUCGGGAGGGAGAACAACCGUGGCAGGGAAUGGCCGCGGGAUGACGUGAAUCCCGGAAUAAGCCCCGGCUAACUACGUG
This 489-nucleotide ribosomal RNA is filed under the name uncultured bacterium. Its description in RNAcentral is "bacterial SSU rRNA". It matches the Rfam family "Bacterial small subunit ribosomal RNA", at positions 28 to 507 of the family's 1533-position model. The record is from RNAcentral.